Molecule: ribosomal RNA, 822 nt
Filed under: marine metagenome
Description: bacterial SSU rRNA
Rfam family: Bacterial small subunit ribosomal RNA
Source: RNAcentral
AGAGUUUGAUUAUGGCUCAGAACGAACGCUUGCUGCAUGCUUUAUACAUGCAAGUCGAACGGAGGCCCUAGCUUGCUAGGUGUCCUUAGUGGCGCACGGGUGAGUAACACGUGGGAACAUACCUUAUAGUACGGAAUAACUGCGGGAAACUGUAGCUAAUACCGUAUACUCCAGUAAUGGGAAAGAUUUAUCGCUAUAAGAUUGGCCCGCGCAAGAUUAGCUUGUUGGUGAGGUAAAAGCUCACCAAGGCUUCGAUCUUUAGCUGGUUUGAGAGGACGAUCAGCCACACUGGGACUGAGACACGGCCCAGACUCCUACGGGAGGCAGCAGUAGGGAAUAUUGGACAAUGGGGGCAACCCUGAUCCAGCAAUGCAGCGUGAGUGACGAAGGCCUUAGGGUUGUAAAACUCUUUCAUCGGUGAGGAUAAUGACAGUAGCCGAAGAAGAAGGACCGGCUAAUUCCGUGCCAGCAGCCGCGGUAAUACGGAAGGUCCUAGCGUUGUUCGGAAUUACUGGGCGUAAAGCGCAUGUAGGCGGAACAGAAAGUUAGAAGUGAAAUCCCUGGGCUCAACCUAGGAAUUGCUUUUAAAACUUCUGUUCUGGAAUUCAGGAGAGGAAAAUGGAAUUUCCAGUGUAGAGGUGAAAUUCGUAGAUAUUGGAAGGAACACCAGUGGCGAAGGCGAUUUUCUGGACUGAUAUUGACGCUGAGAUGCGAAGGCAUGGGUAGCAAACGGGAUUAGAUACCCCGGUAGUCCAUGCAGUAAACGAUGGGUGCUAGUCGUCGGACUUUUGUUCGGUGUCGUAGCUAACGCGUUAAGCACCC